This 1450-nucleotide ribosomal RNA is filed under the name uncultured organism. RNAcentral describes it as "SSU rRNA". It matches the Rfam family "Bacterial small subunit ribosomal RNA". The record is from RNAcentral.
GAUGAACGCUAGCUACAGGCUUAACACAUGCAAGUCGAGGGGCAUCAGGAAGAAAGCUUGCUUUCUUUGCUGGCGACCGGCGCACGGGUGAGUAACACGUAUCCAACCUGCCCUUUACUCGGGGAUAGCCUUUCGAAAGAAAGAUUAAUACCCGAUAGCAUAAUGAUUCCGCAUGGUUUCAUUAUUAAAGGAUUCCGGUAAAGGAUGGGGAUGCGUUCCAUUAGGUUGUUGGUGAGGUAACGGCCCACCAAGCCUUCGAUGGAUAGGGGUUCUGAGAGGAAGGUCCCCCACAUUGGAACUGAGACACGGUCCAAACUCCUACGGGAGGCAGCAGUGAGGAAUAUUGGUCAAUGGGCGCUAGCCUGAACCAGCCAAGUAGCGUGAAGGAUGAAGGCUCUAUGGGUCGUAAACUUCUUUUAUAUAAGAAUAAAGUGCAGUAUGUAUACUGUUUUGUAUGUAUUAUAUGAAUAAGGAUCGGCUAACUCCGUGCCAGCAGCCGCGGUAAUACGGAGGAUCCGAGCGUUAUCCGGAUUUAUUGGGUUUAAAGGGAGCGUAGGUGGACUGGUAAGUCAGUUGUGAAAGUUUGCGGCUCAACCGUAAAAUUGCAGUUGAUACUGUCAGUCUUGAGUACAGUAGAGGUGGGCGGAAUUCGUGGUGUAGCGGUGAAAUGCUUAGAUAUCACGAAGAACUCCGAUUGCGAAGGCAGCUCACUGGACUGCAACUGACACUGAUGCUCGAAAGUGUGGGUAUCAAACAGGAUUAGAUACCCUGGUAGUCCACACAGUAAACGAUGAAUACUCGCUGUUUGCGAUAUACAGUAAGCGGCCAAGCGAAAGCAUUAAGUAUUCCACCUGGGGAGUACGCCGGCAACGGUGAAACUCAAAGGAAUUGACGGGGGCCCGCACAAGCGGAGGAACAUGUGGUUUAAUUCGAUGAUACGCGAGGAACCUUACCCGGGCUUAAAUUGCAGUGGAAUGAUGUGGAAACAUGUCAGUGAGCAAUCACCGCUGUGAAGGUGCUGCAUGGUUGUCGUCAGCUCGUGCCGUGAGGUGUCGGCUUAAGUGCCAUAACGAGCGCAACCCUUAUCUUUAGUUACUAACAGGUUAUGCUGAGGACUCUAGAGAGACUGCCGUCGUAAGAUGUGAGGAAGGUGGGGAUGACGUCAAAUCAGCACGGCCCUUACGUCCGGGGCUACACACGUGUUACAAUGGGGGGUACAGAAGGCAGCUAGCGGGUGACCGUAUGCUAAUCCCAAAAUCCUCUCUCAGUUCGGAUCGAAGUCUGCAACCCGACUUCGUGAAGCUGGAUUCGCUAGUAAUCGCGCAUCAGCCACGGCGCGGUGAAUACGUUCCCGGGCCUUGUACACACCGCCCGUCAAGCCAUGGGAGCCGGGGGUACCUGAAGUACGUAACCGCAAGGAUCGUCCUAGGGUAAAACUGGUGACUGGGGC